CGGCGGACGGGUGAGUAAUGCUUAGGAAUCUGCCUAUUAGUGGGGGACAACAUUCCGAAAGGGAUGCUAAUACCGCAUACGCCCUACGGGGGAAAGCAGGGGAUCUUCGGACCUUGCGCUAAUAGAUGAGCCUAAGUCGGAUUAGCUAGUUGGUGGGGUAAAGGCCUACCAAGGCGACGAUCUGUAGCGGGUCUGAGAGGAUGAUCCGCCACACUGGGACUGAGACACGGCCCAGACUCCUACGGGAGGCAGCAGUGGGGAAUAUUGGACAAUGGGCGGAAGCCUGAUCCAGCCAUGCCGCGUGUGUGAAGAAGGCCUUUUGGUUGUAAAGCACUUUAAGCGAGGAGGAGGCUCUUAAGGUUAAUACCCUUGAUGAGUGGACGUUACUCGCAGAAUAAGCACCGGCUAACUCUGUGCCAGCAGCCGCGGUAAUACAGAGGGUGCGAGCGUUAAUCGGAUUUACUGGGCGUAAAGCGUGCGUAGGCGGCUGAUUAAGUCGGAUGUGAAAUCCCUGAGCUUAACUUAGGAAUUGCAUUCGAUACUGGUCAGCUAGAGUAUGGGAGAGGAUGGUAGAAUUCCAGGUGUAGCGGUGAAAUGCGUAGAGAUCUGGAGGAAUACCGAUGGCGAAGGCAGCCAUCUGGCCUAAUACUGACGCUGAGGUACGAAAGCAUGGGGAGCAAACAGGAUUAGAUACCCUGGUAGUCCAUGCCGUAAACGAUGUCUACUAGCCGUUGGGGCCUUUGAGGCUUUAGUGGCGCAGCUAACGCGAUAAGUAGACCGCCUGGGGGAGUACGGUCGCAAGACUAAAACUCAAAUGAAUUGACGGGGGCCCGCACAAGC
RNAcentral lists this ribosomal RNA (840 nucleotides) under Acinetobacter sp. F48. RNAcentral's name for it is "bacterial SSU rRNA". It matches the Rfam family "Bacterial small subunit ribosomal RNA", at positions 96 to 930 of the family's 1533-position model. The record is from RNAcentral. Lineage: Bacteria; Pseudomonadati; Pseudomonadota; Gammaproteobacteria; Moraxellales; Moraxellaceae.